UACUUAUUGGGUACAAUGCUCACUACCUGG
This 30-nucleotide non-coding RNA is filed under the name Homo sapiens (human). Lineage: Eukaryota; Metazoa; Chordata; Mammalia; Primates; Hominidae. The record is from RNAcentral.